AGCCAGACCCUGCUAAUCGAUCAGGGCAUAGACUCAUACGAGAAUAUUUGAAGAAGAUACAUAGGCGUACAUCAAUUUCAGCCUCCUGCAGGACCCAUCACAUCCUUCACAUGACCUUUUCACUCUCCUGCCACCCAAGAGAAGAUGCUGCAGCAUCACUGCCAGGCUGCCACACGCUGACCCUUAAGCAUACCCCGUGCUUCACACUUUGUCUCUGUGACAUGGGGCAAUGAAAAGAAUUCCAUUUA
Long non-coding RNA from Brienomyrus brachyistius, 248 nucleotides. RefSeq lists it as uncharacterized. The transcript has 2 exons. NCBI's taxonomy places the organism in Eukaryota, Metazoa, Chordata, Actinopteri, Osteoglossiformes, Mormyridae. The record is from RefSeq and is a predicted model, not a curated record.